Non-coding RNA from Pelobates cultripes (western spadefoot toad), 335 nucleotides. Lineage: Eukaryota; Metazoa; Chordata; Amphibia; Anura; Pelobatidae. The record is from the annotation of a GenBank genome assembly.
GGGGACUAUAGUGUUUCUUUAAUGUGAGGUAAAUUAGAGCUUAGUGCCACGAAUAAUAUACUAGAUUGCCUACUUACAACCAGAUGAGGAUGAUGAUGGGCUCUAGCUGCAGUCUGGCAUCACUGGUCUGGUGCAGAACAGUCUCUCUGCAGGCGGUUUGUAACUGUGGUCACAAAAAUCAAUGUUCUGGGAGAACGGGAAGCAGCUCCAUUUUUUGGGGGUCCUUUACACAGCUCAAGGUCUGGGUCCCAGGGUCCACCUUCAUGUUCCACCAAUGAGUUUGUUCACAGGGGGUGGAGUGUGUAGGGGAUGUCCUGAUAUGUGUGUAAGGAAUG